Molecule: ribosomal RNA, 497 nt
Filed under: uncultured bacterium
Lineage: Bacteria
Description: partial 16S ribosomal RNA
Rfam family: Bacterial small subunit ribosomal RNA
Source: RNAcentral
GAUGAACGCUGGCGGCGUGCCUAAUACAUGCAAGUCGAGCGAACAGACGAGGAGCUUGCUCCUCUGACGUUAGCGGCGGACGGGUGAGUAACACGUGGAUAACCUACCUAUAAGACUGGGAUCACUUCGGGAAACCGGAGCUAAUACCGGAUAAUAUAUUGAACCGCAUGGUUCAAUAGUGAAAGACGGUUUUGCUGUCACUUAUAGAUGGAUCCGCGCCGCAUUAGCUAGUUGGUAAGGUAACGGCUUACCAAGGCGACGAUGCGUAGCCGACCUGAGAGGGUGAUCGGCCACACUGGAACUGAGACACGGUCCAGACUCCUACGGGAGGCAGCAGUAGGGAAUCUUCCGCAAUGGGCGAAAGCCUGACGGAGCAACGCCGCGUGAGUGAUGAAGGUCUUCGGAUCGUAAAACUCUGUUAUUAGGGAAGAACAAAUGUGUAAGUAACUAUGCACGUCUUGACGGUACCUAAUCAGAAAGCCACGGCUAACUACGUG